This 253-nucleotide ribosomal RNA is filed under the name uncultured bacterium. RNAcentral describes it as "partial 16S ribosomal RNA". It matches the Rfam family "Bacterial small subunit ribosomal RNA", at positions 524 to 776 of the family's 1533-position model. The record is from RNAcentral.
UACGAAGGAUUCGAGCGUUAUCCGGAUUUAUUGGGUUUAAAGGGUGCGUAGGUGGACUAAUAAGUCAGUGGUGAAAGCCCGCAGCUUAACUGCGGAACUGCCAUUGAUAUUGUUAGUCUUGAGUACAGUUGAGGUGGGCGGAAUGUGUCAUGUAGCGGUGAAAUGCUUAGAUAUGACACAGAACACCGAUUGCGAAGGCAGCUCACUAAGCUGUAACUGACACUGAGGCACGAAAGUGUGGGUAGCAAACAGG